UGAAUACGAGACGCUAAGGCGUCGAAGUAGUGUAUGUCAUACUUCCAAGAAAAGCUUGCACUGUCAUAGAUAAAAAACGCCUGUACCAUAACCGACACAGGUGGGUAGGUAGAGUAUACUAAGGGGCGCGAGAUAACUCUCUCUAAGGAACUCGGCAAAAUAACUCCGUAACUUCGGGAGAAGGAGUGCCUUAUUCGUAAGGUUGCAAUAACAAGAUCCAAGCAACUGUUUAUCAAAAACACAGGUCUCCGCUAAGUCGUAAGACGAUGUAUGGGGGCUGACGCCUGCCCAGUGCCAGAAGGUUAAAGAAGUUGGUUAGCAAUUGCGAAGCUGAUAACUGAAGCCCUGGUGAACGGCGGCCGUAACUAUAACGGUCCUAAGGUAGCGAAAUUCCUUGUCGGGUAAGUUCCGACCCGCACGAAAGGCGUAAUGAUUUGGAUACUGUCUCGGAGAGGGGCUCGGUGAAAUAGACUUGUCUGUGAAGAUGCGGACUACCUGCACCAGGACAGAAAGACCCUAUGAAGCUUUACUGUAACUUGAAAUUGAAAUUGGACUUUAUUCGCGCAGUAUAGGUGGGAGGCGUUGAUUAUAAUCUUGUGGGAUUAUUGGAGCCAUCAGUGAGAUACCACUCUUGUAAUGUUAGAUUUCUAACUUUGAAUCAUUAUCUGGUCAAAGAGCAGUUUCAGGCGGGCAGUUUGACUGGGGCGGUCGCCUCCUAAACGGUAACGGAGGCGUACAAAGGUUUCCUCUGAACGGUUAGAAAUCGUAUCUAGAGUGUAAAGGCAUAAGGAAGCUUGACUGUGAGACCUACAAGUCGAGCAGGGACGAAAGUCGGUCUUAGUGAUCUGACGGUACUGAGUGGAAAGGCCGUCACUCAACGGAUAAAAGUUACUCUAGGAUAACAGGCUGAUCUCCCCCAAGAGUUCACAUCGACGGGGAGGUUUGGCACCUCGAUGUCGGCUCAUCGCAUCCUGGGGCGGUAGUACGUCCCAAGGGUUGGGCUGUUCGCCCAUGAAAGCGGUACGCGAGCUGGGUUCAGAACGUCGUGAGACAGUUCGGUCCAUAUCCGGUGUAGGCGUUAGAAUAUUGAGAGGAGCCUUCUUUAGUACGAGAGGACCGAGAAGGACAUACCUCUGGUGUACCAGCUAUCGUGCCAACGGUAAACGCAGGGUAGCUAUGUAUGGAGUGGAUAACCGCUGAAAGCAUCUAAGUGGGAAGCCCACCUCAAGAUAAGUAUUCUCAC
RNAcentral lists this ribosomal RNA (1243 nucleotides) under metagenome. RNAcentral describes it as "bacterial LSU rRNA". It matches the Rfam family "Bacterial large subunit ribosomal RNA", at positions 1564 to 2817 of the family's 2925-position model. The record is from RNAcentral.